AAUUGGCCAUUAUGAUACUGAAAUGAGUUAAAUAAAAUAUAAAUUAUGAUAUUGAAUUGCAUAAAAGUUAUUAAAAUAAUCAAUUACAUAUGUAGUAUGUAGUAUGAAUCUGAUUCAGUCUAUGAAUAGACCAUUCCCGUCUGACCUUACCCCCCUUUUUUUUAUUUUUCUUCGAAAGACAUUUGGAUUUCAUGAUCAUUGCCGUUUUUGAAUUUUUUUUAUAUGUAUUCCUGAUUUUCAUACAAUUUUUUGAAAACUCGAAAAAUCUCUCCAAUUUGUAAUUAAAAUCACCGUGCGAAGUAGUGUGUACACCCCUUGCAUGUGGAGAUGUUUUUUACUGUGGAGAAUAUGAUUCCAACCCUAACGUCGUUCUGGCAUAGAGCUUGCUGACGUUUAUUCACCUUUCUCUUUCAAACAUGCAGGCGGAAUAGGAUUUGUUGUCAUCAGGAAAGGUUUCCCGAUGAAAACAAAUCCUAUAGGAUACUGCAAGAUGACGUCACGAAGCCGUGCACUGACAGUUCAGCGAGCUUGUUUACAUGGACUUAGUCUCUGGCGGAGAUCUGGCAAAACUGUUUUUCGGUACAAUUUCGGUAAAACUUUAAUUAGACGAUUGGUCUUGUACUAGUAGGAUUGAAUAUAAUCGAUAUUUCCGUAUCAUAAUGGUUUCGGGACGGAAAAAGUAAAUUUAAUUUUCGCCGCUCGUAAAAAUUCUAACACCUUGUAAACAAGCUCGCUGAGCUGUCAGACAAAGUGAGGUUAGAUCAGGUGCUUGCAGUACCCUAUGCCGUCUGCAUGCUUGAAAGAGAGAGGUGAAUAAACGUCAGCAAGCUCUAUGUUUACUUUUCAAACUGUCAAACCCCCAUCGCCUCAUCUCCUGCUGAUUGUAGCAAGAAGACAGUCUUCGUCCCACUGCAUAUUUCGAUAACGGAACCGUGGCCACAGGACCGACGAAAAAAGAACGACGGCAAAGCUGCCGACGAAGAAAGCAGAAGUCUUCAUCUGUCCAGCGGAUCACCUCUUGUGUCAUCCCCAAUCAUUGUCAGUGACACAGAAGUAUUGCUUUCUCUGAUUUAACAUCCGGAUCCAAGUCGGAAGAGCGGGAGUCCGUCCGUACUCCACAAUCCUAACCGCGAGAAGACAUCCGUGCAAAACGAGCUCCUCGCAGCAUUCCAAUCUCAUACAUAAGUUACCGCAGCACGCCACGACAUCCAUCCCAUACCCCUCGGCAGUUUCAACGAAAAUCUCAUCCAGGCCCAUGUCAUCAACCUCGAACCGGCUCACAGUUCCUUGAAAACCUCGCCCCAUUUCGAUGGAUUUUAGGAUCGAUUCCCUGGCACUGUCUUCAGCUUCCUCGGUAUCUUCCUCCAGAAGGUCAUCUACCUACCGGAGGAAGCCUUCAAUGACCCCAGAUAUUCAAAGCCAUCAAAUUCAAAUCCGAAUAAUCGAAAGGACCGGAGAGCCAAGAUGGUGACAGCGAUAAAAUCGUCAAAUGUUUCCGGUGGGAGUUUUGUGCUUCCCAACGCGAUCGCCAGUCGGAUUUAGCAGGAUUUCACCAAAAUGGGUACCCAGAGAUCGGCGUCAUCAUUAUCGCGAACAUCAGCCGUGCCAACUCCGGGUGAGCUCGACUUGUUACGGAAUGACGGUAAAUACGGAAGCGGAAGACACAAAAUUCUUGCUGUAAAACAACUUCAGCGGUCAGUACAACCAGUUUCGCCGGGGUAUGGACGGAAGCGGAACCACCAUGGAUCUGGACGACGACGACGGCGAGAACUACUGUGCGUACCUUCCUGCCCUGAAAGAGAUACGACCACCAUCAACCCGGAGGUGUUAUACUAACAGCUACGUGAGUGUACGGAGAAGCUGUAUACCGCUUCCUGACUCCGCUGUGCGUCUACCAGGUGGAAAAUGUGGAUGACCGGUUAACGACGGCGGUUAUCAUCGGGUUUGAGUAUGGCCAGUCAACGUGACGUACUGUGAAAGUUGUUUUAGCGAAGAGGAAAAAAGGCAAGAAACAAACAUGUUUUUUAUGUUAUAUAUUUUUGAAAUAAACGUAUUUUGUGCUAUCAAACAA
Long non-coding RNA from Aedes albopictus (Asian tiger mosquito), 2071 nucleotides. RefSeq lists it as uncharacterized. NCBI's taxonomy places the organism in Eukaryota, Metazoa, Arthropoda, Insecta, Diptera, Culicidae. The transcript has 2 exons. The record is from RefSeq and is a predicted model, not a curated record.